AGAGUUUGAUCCUGGCUCAGAAUGAACGCUGGCGGCGUGCUUAACACAUGCAAGUCGCACGAGAACGCUUCAGCUUGCUGAAGCUAGUAAAGUGGCGCACGGGUGAGUAACGCGUGGGUAAUCUACCCUUAAAUUGGGGAUAACAUCGCGAAAGUGAUGCUAAUACCGGAUGAUAUCUUAAAAGCCUCGGUUUUAAAGAUCAAAGAUGGCCUCUACAUGUAAGCUAUUGUUUGAGGAUGAGCCCGCGUACCAUUAGCUUGUUGGUAGGGUAAUGGCCUACCAAGGCUGCGAUGGUUAGCUGGUCUGAGAGGAUGAUCAGCCACACUGGAACUGACACACGGUCCAGACUCCUACGGGAGGCAGCAGUGAGGAAUUUUGCGCAAUGGGGGAAACCCUGACGCAGCAACGCCGGGUGAGUGAUGAAGGCUUUCGGGUCGUAAAGCUCUGUCAAGUGGGAAGAAACCACAUGGUGAUAAUACCACUGUGUGCUGACGGUACCACUGAAGGAAGCACCGGCUAACUCCGUGCCAGCAGCCGCGGUAAUACGGGGGGUGCAAGCGUUAUUCGGAAUUACUGGGCGUAAAGAGCGCGUAGGCGGUCUCUUAAGUCGGGUGUGAAAGCCCGGGGCUCAACCCCGGAAGUGCACUCGAAACUAUGGGACUUGAGUAUGGGAGAGGGAAGUGGAAUUCCUGGUGUAGC
RNAcentral lists this ribosomal RNA (699 nucleotides) under uncultured Desulfobacterales bacterium. RNAcentral's name for it is "bacterial SSU rRNA". It matches the Rfam family "Bacterial small subunit ribosomal RNA", at positions 8 to 679 of the family's 1533-position model. The record is from RNAcentral. Lineage: Bacteria; Pseudomonadati; Thermodesulfobacteriota; Desulfobacteria; Desulfobacterales.